Long non-coding RNA from Arvicola amphibius (Eurasian water vole), 268 nucleotides. RefSeq lists it as uncharacterized. The transcript is spliced from 2 exons. The record is from RefSeq and is a predicted model, not a curated record. Lineage: Eukaryota; Metazoa; Chordata; Mammalia; Rodentia; Cricetidae.
UGUGUUCGUUUUUGUGCUGGCUCUGUGAAGCACGUUUUACCGGCCUUGGUCGCCAAGAGGAACUGGAAAGGCCUCUCAACUACAGGCCAACCUUCUUCGAGUACUGCGGUGGUCUGGGCCCUGCUUUCCCCUCAAUCUUCUGACUCCUUUUUUGCAGGGCAUGGUGAGUCGGCUGCUUCCAGAAUCAACAACGGGCAGGAGGGUUUGCUGGUAAGUUGCGUAUUUGUAUUCGAAUUGCUUAAGCAAUAAAGAGAAAAUGCAAUCGCAA